Molecule: ribosomal RNA, 1012 nt
Filed under: Ceratocystis fimbriata
Lineage: Eukaryota; Fungi; Ascomycota; Sordariomycetes; Microascales; Ceratocystidaceae
Description: LSU rRNA
Rfam family: Eukaryotic large subunit ribosomal RNA
Source: RNAcentral
CGAGUGAAGCGCAACAGCUCAAAUUUGAAAUCUGGCUCUUACCGUAGUCCGAGUUGUAAUUUGUAGAGGAUGCUUUUGGUGAGGUGCCUUCCGAGUUCCCUGGAACGGGACGCCAUAGAGGGUGAGAGCCCCGUACGGUUGGAUACCAAGCCUCUGUAUAGCUCCUUCAACGAGUCGAGUAGUUUGGGAAUGCUGCUCUAAAUGGGAGGUAUAUCUCUUCUAAAGCUAAAUAUAGGCUAGAGACCGAUAGCGCACAAGUAGAGUGAUCGAAAGAUGAAAAGCACUUUGAAAAGAGAGUUAAACAGCACGUGAAAUUGUUGAAAGGGAAGCGCCUAUGACCAGACUUGUUUCUGGCAGUUUUGUUAGCCCUCGGGCUGAUUUACUCUGUCCAGUACAGGCCAGCAUCAGUUUGCUGUUGGGGAGAAAGGCUCUGGGAACGUAGCUCCCCCCUUCUGGGGGGAGUGUUAUAGCCCUCUGCAUAAUACCCUUUGGCAGACUGAGGACCGCGCUUCGGCAAGGAUGCUGGCGUAAUGGUCACAGGACGCCCGUCUUGAAACACGGACCAAGGAGUCAACCUUAUGUGCGAGUGUUUGGGUGUAAAACCCCAGCGCGUAAUGAAAGUGAACGUAGGUGAGAGCUUCGGCGCAUCAUCGACCGAUUCUGAUGUUUUCGGAUGGAUUUGAGUAAGAGCACACAGGGUUGGACCCGAAAGAAGGUGAACUAUGCUUGUAUAGGGUGAAGCCAGAGGAAACUCUGGUGGAGGCUCGCAGCGGUUCUGACGUGCAAAUCGAUCGUCAAAUAUGAGCAUGGGGGCGAAAGACUAAUCGAACCUUCUAGUAGCUGGUUCCAGCCGAAGUUUCCCUCAGGAUAGCAGUGUUGAAUUUUCUUCAGUUUUAUGAGGUAAAGCGAAUGAUUAGGGACUCGGGGGCGCUAUAUUGCCUUCAUCCAUUCUCAAACUUUAAAUAUGUAAGAAGCCCUUGUUACUUAAUUGAACGUGGGCAUUCGAAUGUAC